Molecule: ribosomal RNA, 499 nt
Filed under: uncultured bacterium
Lineage: Bacteria
Description: partial 16S ribosomal RNA
Rfam family: Bacterial small subunit ribosomal RNA
Source: RNAcentral
GAUGAACGCUGGCGGCGUGCCUAAUACAUGCAAGUCGAGCGAACAGACGAGAGUGCUUGCACUCUCUGACGUUAGCUGCGGACGGGUGAGUAACACGUGGGUAACCUACCUAUAAGACUGGGAUAACUUCGGGAAACCGGAGCUAAUACCGGAUAAUAUUUAGCUUCGCAUGAAGCAAUAGUGAAAGACGGUUCUGCUGUCACUUAUAGAUGGACCCGCGGUGUAUUAGCUAGUUGGUGAGGUGACGGCUCACUAAGGCAACGAUACAUAGCCGACCUGAGAGGGUGAUCGGCCACACUGGGACUGAGACACGGCCCAGACUCCUACGGGAGGCAGCAGUAGGGAAUCUUCCGCAAUGGACGAAAGUCUGACGGAGCAAUGCCGCGUGAGUGAAGAAGGUUUUCGGAUCGUAAAACUCUGUUGUAAGGGAAGAACAAGUACGUUAGUAACUGAACGUACCUUGACGGUACCUUACCAGAAAGCCACGGCUAACUACGUG